UACAGAGGUCUCGAGCGUUAGGCGGAAUCACUGGGCUUAAAGCGUGUGUAGGUGGAUCGUUAAGUACCUUGUGAAAUCCCACGGCUUAACCGUGGAACUGCUUGGUAUACUGGCGGUCUUGAGCCAGCUAGGGGCUACCGGAACAAAUGGUGGAGCGGUGAAAUGCGUAGAUAUCGUUUGGAACGCCAAUGGUGAAAACAAGUAGCUGGGGAUGCGCCGACGCUGAGACACGAAAGCCAGGGGAGCGAACGGG
Molecule: ribosomal RNA, 253 nt
Filed under: uncultured bacterium
Lineage: Bacteria
Description: partial 16S ribosomal RNA
Rfam family: Bacterial small subunit ribosomal RNA
Source: RNAcentral